This 468-nucleotide ribosomal RNA is filed under the name uncultured bacterium. RNAcentral describes it as "partial 16S ribosomal RNA". It matches the Rfam family "Bacterial small subunit ribosomal RNA", at positions 28 to 507 of the family's 1533-position model. The record is from RNAcentral.
GACGAACGCUGGCGGCGUGCUUAACACAUGCAAGUCGAACGGAAAGGCCCUGCUUUUGUGGGUUGCUCGAGUGGCGAACGGGUGAGUAACACGUGUGUAACCUGUCCUUGACUUUGGGAUAACUUCAGGAAACUGGGGCUAAUACCGGAUAGGAGCUCCUGCUGCAUGGUGGGGGUUGGAAAGUUUCGGCGGUUGGGUAUGGUCUCGCUGCUUACCCGCUUGUUGGUGGAGUAGUGGCUUACAAAGGGUUUGACGGGUAGCCGGCCUGAGAGGGUGACCGGCCACAUGGGGACUGAGAUACGGCCCAGAAUCCUACGGGAGGCAGCAGUGGGGAAUAUUGCACAAUGGGCGGAAGCCUGAUGCAGAAACGCCGCGUGCGGGAUGACGGCCUUCGGGUUGUAAACCGCUUUCGCCUGUGACGAAGCGUGAGUGACGGUAAUGGGUAAAGAAGCACCGGCUAACUACGUG